CCAAACCUGGACAACACGAUGCCGAUAGUGCGCCGCACAUAUGGGAUUCACAAUCACAGCCAGUUGUGAUACAGCCGGGAAUCGAACCAGGUGUGUCUGUAGUGAUGCCUCUUGCACUGAGAUGCAGUGCCUUAUACUGCUGCGCUACUCGGGAGCAGAAUGUACAUUCAGAAGUAAUGACUGGAACUUAAGUGGUAUUGUGUUUCAUUUCCAGUCACUUCAUGUCUGAUGGAGCCGUGAACAAUAUAUAAUGUAACUCUUACCAAACCCUUUCCAUGAUUUUGAAGAUAGCUUCUUCCUCUGGGCCAUUUUGUGAAUCAUCUAUUUUAAUGUUCUCUACCAAAUCCCCCAUGGCUAAUAUGAAUCUUUACUAAACACUCUCUGAUACUGUCAGGUUGUGCGGUACUGGUGUAGGAGUCAGGUGCAGGAGAGCAGAGAGUUGUGAUCUACUGGUGUAGGAGUCCGUUGCAGGAGAGCAGAGAGUUGUGAUCUACUGGUGUAGGAGUCCGGUGCAGGAGAGCAGAGAGUUGUG
Molecule: long non-coding RNA, 532 nt
Organism: Oncorhynchus tshawytscha (Chinook salmon)
Lineage: Eukaryota; Metazoa; Chordata; Actinopteri; Salmoniformes; Salmonidae
Source: Ensembl